This 991-nucleotide ribosomal RNA is filed under the name uncultured Bacillota bacterium. RNAcentral describes it as "bacterial SSU rRNA". It matches the Rfam family "Bacterial small subunit ribosomal RNA", at positions 510 to 1501 of the family's 1533-position model. The record is from RNAcentral. Lineage: Bacteria; Bacillati; Bacillota.
AGCAGCCGCGGUAAGACGUAGGGGGCGAGCGUUGUCCGGAAUUACUGGGCGUAAAGAGCACGUAGGCGGAUAUUUAAGUCAGAUGUGAAAGACCGCAGCUCAACUGCGGGGUUGCAUUUGAAACUAGGUAUCUUGAGGGCAGGAGAGGGCAGCGGAAUGUGUCAUGUAGCGGUGAAAUGCUUAGAUAUGACACAGAACACCGAUCGCGAAGGCAGCUAGCUAAGCUAUAACUGACGCUCAUGCACGAAAGCGUGGGGAUCAAACAGGAUUAGAUACCCUGGUAGUCCACGCUGUAAACGAUGGAUACUAGGUGUAGGAGGUAUCGACUCUGUGCCGCAGCUAACGCAAUAAGUAUCCCGCCUGGGGAGUACGAUCGCAAGAUUGAAACUCAAAGGAAUUGACGGGGGCCCGCACAAGCGGAGGAGCAUGUGGUUUAAUUCGAUGCAACGCGAGGAACCUUACCAGGUCUUGACAUGCCCUACGAUUUCAAAGUAGGAAGUGCCUUUAGGAGGAGCGUAGAGCGAGGUGCUGCAUGGUUGUCGUCAGCUCGUGCCGUGAGGUGUCGGGUUAAGUCCCAUAACGAGCGCAACCCCUGCUAUUAGUUGCUAACAUUUAGGACUGAGCACUCUAAUGGGACUGCCUGUGACAAGCAGGAGGAAGGUGGGGAUGACGUCAAAUCAUCAUGCCCUUUACGUCCAGGGCUACACACGUGCUACAAUGGCCGAUACAGAGGGCAGCGAAGCCGUGAGGUGAAGCGAAUCCCAAAAGCCAUUCUCAGUUCGGAUCGGAGUCUGCAACCCGACUCCGUGAAGUUGGAUUCGCUAGUAAUCGCGCAUCAGCCAUGGCGCGGUGAAUACGUUCCCGGGCCUUGUACACACCGCCCGCCAAGCCAUGGAAGCUGGGGGGACCUAAAGUCGAUAACCGCAACUCCAAGAGAGGGAGUCGCCUAGGGUGGGGUUGGUAAUUGGGGUGAAGUCGUAACAAGGUAACC